GAGCUCAAGUGAUCCACCUGCCUUGGACUCCCAAAAUGCUGGGAUUACAGGUGUGAGCCACUGUGCCUGGCAGGAACUAUUAUUUGACUUCACAAUGGCCUCAAAGUUCCAAGAGUAUGAUGCUGGCAAUCUGGAUAUGCCAAAAACCAGCCAUGAAGUCCUUCCUUUAGUUAAAAGGUGAAAGUUCUCAAGAAAAAAAAAAGUAUGCUGAGAUUGCUAAGAUCUACAGGUCACACAAGGUCUUAAGACACAGGAGUCCCUGUGUCUGAACGUAAUCACUGUGUAUGCGUCUCAGCCUAAUGAGGAGGUGACUAUCAUGAAGGUCUGGUGGUGAAGAUCUUGCAAGAAGGUGCCUUGUUUGAGAUCUUUCAAGGAAACACAGUACUCAAUAAAUGUGGUUCGGUGUACAGUUGAGCCUUGAGCAACAUGGAUUUGAACUGCAUGGGGCCACUUAAAUGUGCAUUUUCUUAUGACUCCGC
Molecule: long non-coding RNA, 479 nt
Filed under: Homo sapiens (human)
Lineage: Eukaryota; Metazoa; Chordata; Mammalia; Primates; Hominidae
Description: HSALNT0374814
Source: RNAcentral